AUUGAACGCUGGCGGCAUGCCUUACACAUGCAAGUCGAACGCGAAAGGGGGCAACCCUGAGUAGAGUGGCGAACGGGUGAGUAAUGCAUCGGAACGUGUCCUGUAGCGGGGGACAACCCCGAGAAAUCGGGGCUAAUACCGCAUACGUCCUACGGGAGAAAGUGGGGACCGCAAGGCCUCACACUAUAGGGGCGGCCGAUGCCGGAUUAGCUAGUUGGUGGGGUAAGAGCCCACCAAGGCGACGAUCCGUAGCUGGUCUGAGAGGAUGAUCAGCCACACUGGGACUGAGACACGGCCCAGACGCAUACGGGAGGCAGCAGUGGGGAAUUUUGGACAAUGGGCGCAAGCCUGAUCCAGCCAUGCCGAGUGAGUGAAGAAGGCCUUCGGGUUGUAAAGCUCUUUCGGCCGGGACGAAAUCGCUCUCGCUAAUAUCGGGAGUGGAUGACGGUACCGGAAUAAGAAGCACCGGCUAACUACGUGCCAGCCGCCGCAGUAA
RNAcentral lists this ribosomal RNA (496 nucleotides) under uncultured bacterium. RNAcentral describes it as "partial 16S ribosomal RNA". It matches the Rfam family "Bacterial small subunit ribosomal RNA", at positions 29 to 523 of the family's 1533-position model. The record is from RNAcentral.